CAGCCGCCGCGGUAAUACGUAGGUGGCGAGCGUUGUCCGGAAUCAUUGGGCGUAAAGGGAGCGCAGGCGGGCAAGUAAGUCUUUCUUAAAAGUUCGGGGCUCAACCCCGUGAUGGGAAAGAAACUACAUGUCUUGAGUACAGGAGAGGAAAGCGGAAUUCCCAGUGUAGCGGUGAAAUGCGUAGAUAUUGGGAGGAACACCAGUGGCGAAGGCGGCUCACUGGACCGACACUGACGCUGAGGCGCGAAAGCGUGGGGAGCAAACAGGAUUAGAUACCCCUGUAGUCCCUGUCUCUUAUACA
This 301-nucleotide ribosomal RNA is filed under the name uncultured bacterium. RNAcentral's name for it is "partial 16S ribosomal RNA". It matches the Rfam family "Bacterial small subunit ribosomal RNA", at positions 509 to 808 of the family's 1533-position model. The record is from RNAcentral.